UACGUAGGGGGCAAGCGUUGUCCGGAAUCAUUGGGCGUAAAGAGCGUGUAGGCGGUCCGAUAAGUCCGCUCUGAAAGCCCGGGGCUCAACCCCGGGAGGCGGGCGGAUACUGUCGGGCUAGAGUCCGGAAGAGGCAAGUGGAAUUCCUGGUGUAGCGGUGAAAUGCGCAGAUAUCAGGAGGAACACCGAUGGCGAAGGCAGCUUGCUGGGACGGUACUGACGCUGAGACGCGAAAGCGUGGGGAGCGAACAGG
This 253-nucleotide ribosomal RNA is filed under the name uncultured bacterium. Its description in RNAcentral is "partial 16S ribosomal RNA". It matches the Rfam family "Bacterial small subunit ribosomal RNA", at positions 524 to 776 of the family's 1533-position model. The record is from RNAcentral.